Molecule: ribosomal RNA, 254 nt
Filed under: uncultured bacterium
Lineage: Bacteria
Description: partial 16S ribosomal RNA
Rfam family: Bacterial small subunit ribosomal RNA
Source: RNAcentral
UACGUAGGGCGCAAGCGUUGUCCGGAAUUAUUGGGCGUAAAGAGCUCGUAGGCGGCCUGUUGCGUCCGCUGUGAAAUCCCGGGGGCUCAACCCCGGGCCUGCAGUGGAUACGGGCUGGCUGGAGGCAGGCAGGGGAGAACGGAAUUCCUGGUGUAGCGGUGAAAUGCGCAGAUAUCAGGAGGAACACCGGUGGCGAAGGCGGUUCUCUGGGCCUGUUCUGACGCUGAGGAGCGAAAGCGUGGGGAGCGAACAGG